Protopterus annectens (West African lungfish) is the source of this 746-nucleotide long non-coding RNA. RefSeq lists it as uncharacterized. The transcript is spliced from 4 exons. The record is from RefSeq and is a predicted model, not a curated record. NCBI's taxonomy places the organism in Eukaryota, Metazoa, Chordata, Ceratodontiformes, Protopteridae.
AGCUCAGAAGGACAUUACAGAGAACCAGAUUAACUGUUAGAAGAGGCAGACCUGCUCUCCAUGCCUCAGGGUAGCUUUAUGUGGCUAUGUAGAUGGAGACACGUUUUUGAAAGAGGAAGACAUUGUCAGGUAGCUUUAUGUGGCUAUGUAGAUGGAGACACGUUUUUGAAAGAGGAAGACAUUGUCAGAUUUCAAGUGGUACUGGAUUCCAACUAGCUUGCACAGUUUUUGUAAAAGCCCUCUGCUCUCCUGCCAGACCAAAAGGUGAUCUACGCAGACUCAUUGCAUCAUUGUUGAUACUUCUAAUGGAAUACGUAUCAUUUCCUCUCUCCACAGUGACCGACAUUAUAUUGUCCUCUUCCUGCAUAACCCUAUUCCAUAUCUGCCAUGCUGCUUCUCCUCCAGUUUUAUUGUUCCUGUCUUUUGUGUAGACUCAGUAAAACAAAGUCUCUAACCAGAUUUAUAGAAGACCCUGGCAGAAAGAUUGUGGAAAAGCACAGAGCUGUGUCUCCAAAAGUAUUUGUAAACAUUCCUUUUCAAAGCAUCACAGGUCAUAUGUUCAUCAGCCCUGAAAAAAAUGUUUCACCAUCAGCACAGUGGUUACAAAAUGUAUAGUGACACUAAUCUUUCACUGCAAGCAAGCCAAGAUGCCAGACUUUACCAGCUAUGGCCAGGUUAAGAGUGCAACUACUUUAAUUAGCCUGAAUGUUUUUCUCUUCAAGACAUGUGCUGUCACAUUGUAUACA